Molecule: ribosomal RNA, 497 nt
Filed under: uncultured bacterium
Lineage: Bacteria
Description: partial 16S ribosomal RNA
Rfam family: Bacterial small subunit ribosomal RNA
Source: RNAcentral
GAUGAACGCUGGCGGCGUGCCUAAUACAUGCAAGUCGAGCGAACAGAUGAGGAGAUUGCUCCUCUGACGUUAGCGGCGGACGGGUGAGUAACACGUGGAUAACCUAGCUAUAAGACUGGGAUAACUUCGGGAAACCGUAGCUAAUACCGGGUAAUAUAUUGAACGGCAUGGGUCAAUAGUGGAAGACGGUUUUGCUGUCACUUAUGGAUAGAUCCGCGCCUCAUUAGCGGAUUGGUAAGGUAAGGGCUUACCAAGGCAACAAUGCAUAGCCGACCGGAGAGGGGGUUCGGCGAUACUGGAACUGAGAGACGGUCCACACUCCUACUGAGGGACGGAGUAGGGACCUUCCCGCAACGGGCGAAAGCCAGACGGAGCAACGCGGCGUGAGCGAUGAAGGCCUUCGGACCUUAAAAUUCUGUUAUCAGGGAAGAACAAAUGUGUAAGUAACUAUGCACGCAUUGACGGUACCUAAUCAGAAAGCCACGGCUAACUCCGUG